RNAcentral lists this ribosomal RNA (492 nucleotides) under uncultured bacterium. RNAcentral describes it as "partial 16S ribosomal RNA". It matches the Rfam family "Bacterial small subunit ribosomal RNA", at positions 29 to 507 of the family's 1533-position model. The record is from RNAcentral.
AGUGAACGCUGGCGGUAGGCCUAACACAUGCAAGUCGAACGGCAGCACAGUAAGAGCUUGCUCUUACGGGUGGCGAGUGGCGGACGAGUGAGGAAUACAUCGGAAUCUACUUUUUCGUGGGGGAUAACGUAGGGAAACUUACGCUAAUACCGCAUACGACCUACGGGUGAAAGCAGGGGAUCUUCGGACCUUGCGCGAUUGAAUGAGCCGAUGUCGGAUUAGCUAGUUGGCGGGGUAAAGGCCCACCAAGGCGACGAUCCGUAGCUGGUCUGAGAGGAUGAUCAGCCACACUGGAACUGAGACACGGUCCAGACUCCUACGGGAGGCAGCAGUGGGGAAUAUUGGACAAUGGGCGCAAGCCUGAUCCAGCCAUACCGCGUGGGUGAAGAAGGCCUUCGGGUUGUAAAGCCCUUUUGUUGGGAAAGAAAAGCAGCAGGUUAAUACCCCGCUGUUCUGACGGUACCAAAAGAAUAAGCACCGGCUAACUUCGUG